RNAcentral lists this ribosomal RNA (206 nucleotides) under uncultured bacterium. RNAcentral's name for it is "partial 16S ribosomal RNA". It matches the Rfam family "Bacterial small subunit ribosomal RNA", at positions 568 to 774 of the family's 1533-position model. The record is from RNAcentral.
CGCGCAGGCGGUUCUUUAAGUCUGAUGUGAAAUCUUGCGGCUCAACCGCAAGCGGUCAUUGGAAACUGGGGAACUUGAGUGCAGAAGAGGAAAGCGGAAUUCCACGUGUAGCGGUGAAAUGCGUAGAGAUGUGGAGGAACACCAGUGGCGAAGGCGGCUUUCUGGCCUGUAACUGACGCUGAGGCGCGAAAGCGUGGGAGCAAACA